This is a long non-coding RNA of Brassica oleracea var. oleracea, 527 nucleotides long. RefSeq lists it as uncharacterized. The transcript has 2 exons. The record is from RefSeq and is a predicted model, not a curated record. Lineage: Eukaryota; Viridiplantae; Streptophyta; Magnoliopsida; Brassicales; Brassicaceae.
UAUUGGUUUUGUGAUAAUGAGAGAAGAAAAGUCGAAGUCGACAAACGAGAUGAAGUCGAUGCUCUCCUCGAUCUUUCAAUCGGUGCUGGCCUCGUCCUCGAAGAAUCUCGUCGUCGCCUCGUCCUAUAAGCAACGACAACCAUCUCCGGCUGAUGCUGCAUCAAAUGAUGUAUUCAGUCUCAACAGUUGUGUUGUUCACCUUGGCAAUGGCUGCUGCCACUGGGUUAGGUGCAGUGCCCUUCUUCUUUGUUAAGCUCGAUCCUCAUUGGCCUGGAAUAUGCAAUGGCAUGGCUGCUGGUGUGAUGUUGGCCGCUAGCUUUGAGCUUGUGAACAUGUUGUGUAUCACGGGAUGUAUUUGUGAUGAAGUGUAGAGUCACAUGCUUGUAGUCUUGUAGUUUUGUUGUGAACAUGUUGUGUUGUAUCACGGAAUGUAUUUGUGAUGAAGUGUUGAGUCACAAAAUCUUUAUAAAUAAUGUAUUCAAAGCAUUGUUUUCAAUCACAAACCACAAUCUGAAACAUUUCUUUCA